GAAGGUUAAAAGCAAAUCCAUUGAAAGAUGGAGACGCAAAGCUAUCAGUCUAAAGCAAUGAUUAUUGCCAUGAUUGUCAGGUUGCCAAA
Molecule: non-coding RNA, 89 nt
Filed under: Clostridium sp.
Lineage: Bacteria; Bacillati; Bacillota; Clostridia; Eubacteriales; Clostridiaceae
Also listed under: 1 other name
Description: c-di-GMP sequence
Rfam family: c-di-GMP-I riboswitch aptamer
About the family: GEMM was predicted in a large-scale screen for bacterial structured RNA regulatory elements.
Source: RNAcentral